AUACGGAGGGUGCAAGCGUUACUCGGAAUCACUGGGCGUAAAGCGCGCGCAGGCGGUCUUUUAAGUUGGAUGUGAAAGCCUACGGCUCAACCGUAGAACUGCAUCCAAAACUAUUAGACUAGAGUGUGGGAGAGGAAGAUGGAAUUAGUUGUGUAGGGGUAAAAUCCGUAGAGACAACUAGGAAUACCAAAAGCGAAGGCAAUCUUCUGGAACACUACUGACGCUGAGGCGCGAAAGCGUGGGGAGCAAACAGGAUUAGAAACCCCGGUAGUCC
RNAcentral lists this ribosomal RNA (274 nucleotides) under uncultured bacterium. RNAcentral's name for it is "partial 16S ribosomal RNA". It matches the Rfam family "Bacterial small subunit ribosomal RNA", at positions 523 to 796 of the family's 1533-position model. The record is from RNAcentral.